This is a long non-coding RNA of Ailuropoda melanoleuca (giant panda), 2702 nucleotides long. RefSeq lists it as uncharacterized. The transcript has 3 exons. Lineage: Eukaryota; Metazoa; Chordata; Mammalia; Carnivora; Ursidae. The record is from RefSeq and is a predicted model, not a curated record.
CACCUGUGGAAACAGUCACCGUUCUGUGCACUUUCCCAGGUUAGCUGACUCAUGUAGAAGUCCUCAGUCUGUCAGCUGAGCGAGAGAACAAGCGGAGAUGCCCCGUAGCCAUGAGGUGCACUGUCCCAAAUACUGUCUCUAAUACCAUUCUGCCAGAGGACAUGCGGGCUUCUUUGAGAAAUCUUAAUCCACAGACCAGGAACUCCACAGAAUGAGUGUGGAGCACCUUCUAGUGUCAGAGAGUGAAGAAUUUUUCAAAACAAACACAAGGACAUCAGCGUUUGCUCACACACACAAAUACACUGACAGGGUGUGUCAAGGGGCUCAUCAGCCAACUUAAAAUGGUUCCAUUGGGUAAAACUGGAAAGAUGUGAGCAAGCAAAUAUAUGUAAUAGUAUCAGGUUAUAACUCAAAGUCUAAAAUCGCUCUUCAUUGUCCAUAUUGUUCACUGCUUGAACAAAGGAAUAAAUGGAGGAAGAAGAGACACAUUCCAGCAGAGAGAUUUCAUGUAACAGGUGCAAACACUUAGCAUGAAGGGUGUCGAGCAUGAUCCCCAAUCAUGAAGUGUGGACAAAGUCACCCAAACAAGAAGAGUCUGAGAGAGUGUCACAGUGAGAGAAGCUUAAGGAAGCGUCACAAUUACAUGCCACAGAGAAUCCUGAACUGGAUCUUAGAACCAUAGGGACAUUAGGUAAAAACUAAGACAAUCUGAAUAAACCAUGGCUGUUAAUUGUUAUGGGCAUCAAUUCAUGUGAAGAAAGUUCUAAAUAAAAUCUUGUAUUUAAGAAUGUGAUCUUAUAUGGACAUGGGGUUGCUGCAGAUGUAGUCCGCUAAGGUGUUUCAAUAAAGCUCGAUUCGGCUUGAAGAAGAACUGUUCUGGGAAAAUGGCGAAUCAUGCUCGUACCUUGGAGUCCACACCGGCAGCAGAUCCAGAGCUGGCAGCAGGGGCUGCCGAGGGAGCUGACAGCCCGCCGCCUCGCCAGCCUCAGCCCCCGCAGAAUGUGCUCGCUGGCCCGCAGCUUCAAGCCCCAAGUUCCUGAGGGCUUGGCUAGGUGGAGUUUGGCGGAGCUGCGGGAGAUGUUGAAGUGCCAGGAGAGUCUUUCGCGCAAUGAGCUCCCUGUCCCGGCCUGUGCUGACCCAGCUGUGCUCCCCUCUGCAUGUCGGCAAACAACAGUCAGUCUCUCACGGGCACCCUGAGCAGUGGCUUCUGUGUUGGCUGCUCCUACAAUUACUGGUUCAAGCAGGAGCCAGGGAGCCCUCCCCGGUAUCUCCUGACCACUCCUCAGACUCACAUAAGCACCAGGACUCAGGGGUCCCCAGCCACUUCUCCAGAUCCCAGGAUACCUCGGUGAAUGCAGGGCUUCUGCUCAUCUCUGGGCUGCAGCCUGAGGAGAAGGUGACUGUUUCUGGGCUACAGCUCAUGGCGGGGGGAGCAGCUCCCGUUCCUCACAGGGUCUCAUAUGAGGAAGAAGUGGGUCAGAAACCUCUGGACACAAGAAUCUUGUUUCGGAGCCUCUGUCCAGGAAGACACUGUAUGGACAGACGCAGUGGGGUGGUCGCUUCUGCACGACGAUCUGUUAAUCUCAGGGAAAGAGAGACACUCCUGUAAGACCCAUAACGUGAGACGAAAUGUUGGGGCAUCGCAGGAAGACGCAGACAGAGGAGAUAUCAGAGCCCAGCUGCCCAUCACCCUCAAUCUGGAGACAAUGAACAGGAAUCACCACGGUUUCCACAGUGAAAAUACUGCCCAGCAAACACUCACCCACACAUCAGUUUUGCCCUCUUAUUCCAUGAAGGGUGACCACGUGCCACCGCUGAUGCAUCCACAGCUGAUGGAUGGACACUAACCCUGGUCACAGACACUCUCCUCUCUCUGAACCAGCUACACACGCACUUGGACCCGAUCCCACAGAUGCUCCCUGACAACACGCCCACUCCUUCCUCCUCUUCUCCGCUCUGCUCCCCUGUCCCUCAGGCUUCAGUUUCUCCCCCUGCCUCUUCAGGUCUCCACUCCGUCUCCAUGUCAGGAUUUCAGAGAACACUGGCGAGGAUGGUGCUCGAGUUUCCCUGGAGACUAGGCCAGAGAAUGAGCUGAGCACACAGCUGCAUGCAACCCCUCACAUUCUCCUUCCUGCUCUCACCCCAGGCUCCGUGUUUUCUGUUCCCAUCACUCCCAGUCAGUCUCUUUAUAGAUUUGAGAGAGAGAGAGAGGGAGAGGGAGAGAGAGCACAGCAGGGAGAGGCAGAGGGUGAUGGAGGGAGAGUGUAAGCAGACUCUGCACUCAGUGCCCUGUGGGGGGCUAGAGCUCAGGACCCUGAGAUCAUGACCUGAGCUGAAGGCUGAUGCUUAACUGCCUGAGCCACCCAGGUGUCCCCCAGGACCCUGAGAUUAGGAGAAGAGUCAAACCAAGAGUCACCCAACCAACUGUGCCCCCAGACCUGCCCCAGUCAUUUUCUCUAAUAUGAAAAUAAAGUUCUUACAUUUCCUGAAAAUGAUGUACUCAUCUUCCUUUAGGUAUUUGCACGUGGGAUCUAUUGAUUCUUGCAAACUUCAGAAUUAACUGAUGCUCCACCCAUGGGGAGUGUUGGAGGAAUCCACAGACAAUAGAGGGCCUGCAUAUUUUAAGAUAUGUGAUUAUUUCUCUUUUGCUUCUGAUUCUCAUUCCUAAAAUUACCCUGGAUAGUAGAUGCAAAAUAAAAAUA